AUGGUCCAUCCACUGCUGGAUGAAGGCCUCUCCACACCCACCGCUGCCCCCUCUCACGAUCCUGUGAUGUAACAAUCCACCCAGCACCUGCACACGAUUUCAUCGCUCCAUCUUCUCGGUUGAUUCUGAUUCCAUGAGGCUCGCUCGAUGUUUUCAUCGUUGUGUGAUGGUGGUGAUGGUGGUGCUGGUGGGAGAGGGAACCGGUCGCCACAAUGGCGGUGACCACCUUUUUUAAUAAUAUAUUUUUUGUCAUUUUAAACCAAUUUUAUCCUGAUUGUACUAUCGCAUCAUGUCAUGAGACGAAGUCACCUCUGAGAUCUCGCGUAGAGCAGAUAACCGUCUAUGUUAGGGAACGGCCCACGGAAACGGAUAUUACAGUACUCGCUCUGAGAUUCCUUCAAGGGACAUGGUCUAUACAGUCGAGGGGAGAGAAAUGUUUGUUGCACAAUAGUCAAAUGAAUAUUUGUAAUUCCCAGAGCUGGAAUUGAGUUCAAUUCAGUGCAGAACUGAAUUUAAUGUUACGGAUAUUUGCGCAGUUGUGGAAGACCAGGCGGAGAUCAUCAACUCUUGAGAAUCCAGUUUAAUCACAACUCAGUUUCUGUGAGUCUAUGGUCCUCUAUAUGAGUUCAUGGGUGUCUAUGUAAGUCCGUGGGUUUCUCUGUGAGUUUAUGGUUUUCCAUGUGAGUAUAAAUCUGUACGUGAGUAUGUGGGUCUGUGUGCAACUCACCGAUGACUUGGCUGAGACCAUCAGCACACUACGCUUGUGAACCUGGUUUAAUCACAAAUCUGUCUUUGUGAGUCUGCGGGUAAAUAUGUAGGAAUAUGGGUCUGUGUGAGUCUGUGGGUCUCUAUAUAUGUUUAUGGGUCUGUAGGUAGCUUGAUAACCCGGUUUAAUCACUGAUAAUAAUAAUAAUACUAAUGCACAUUUAUAUAGCACCCUUAAACAAUCAUUCUCAGGGUGGUAUGGCGGCUGAAACCUGUACUCGAACCCAGAAUCUCGGCGGUGCCGGCUCAGCAUCUCUGACCUCAGAGCCACCUGGUGGCCAUCUCUCAUCCCUUUUCAUUAUUGGCAGGAUCUUUCGGAGCUCGGGGAGAGUCUGGCGGCAUGGCGACGUGAGCUGGGGGAGAGUGCGCGAGCGGUGCAGGAGCACGGCAGUCUCGUCCGGCGAGGAGCCGUUAAACCAAACAUGCUGCUGUGAUCGAGAGCCGCAGGAGGCGAUGCUGACGGCCACCUUCGAGCCGUCGGUGGCGCACGCAGCUUCGCCGAAGCGGCGUGCUGGAGCGGGUACGAGCCACGGUGUGGCGCUCGGAUUGGAUUGGCGGUUUAUCCAGCGCGAGGAGAAGGAGCCGGUCGUGUCACACGAGCAGGAACUGGAGGAAUGCUCCGAGAUGCUGCGGUACUCCAAGGCUGACCUGGUGGCAGCAUGAGAGCCUGGCACCGAAGCCGAGCCGCCGUGCACCGAGGCUGCUGAGCCACUGUGCAGGAGCCAUUCGCCGACCGAGAGGCACAGUCGGCAAAAUGACCAGCAGCAGGAGCGCGCGGGGAGGACUCGGGCGGGACUGGCGGCAAUGCAGGCACAGCGGCCGGAUGAUCGUAGCACGUGUAGGUGCUGGUGGAUGAGGAGUCCCGUCCCCGCGAGGAGCUCCACGACACCAGGGGCAAGAUGUAGUUCCUCAAAACAGAGCUGCGAGCCACCAGGACAGAGGAGGCCACGCGGGCGCAGGAGGUGAUGCGGCUGCAGCUUGCGCCGGUGGCACGCAGAGCCUGAGACCGGGCACGUGCACGGCCAGAUCACCGGGUGGAGCAGCUGGAAGCGACGUGCGGGAGGAGCUGGAAGUGGAGCAACAGUUGCUUGAUGGAGGCUGAGGACGACGCGCGCCAGCUGGCAGACACCACGUGCGCCGAGGCCUCCACGCUGCGCGAGUAGCGCGGGGACGAUGCGAAUCGGGUACGGCCUGCGCUGCGUGGGGAAAUGCUGGUGGAUAAGGUCACUCCUCGGGUUGCCACCUGUUCUGGUUCCCGGAAUAGCCCUCUUUUUGAAGUAGCUGUCCGGGAUGUUUUAGGUCCCAGUCUUUGUCGGUUGCGGGAUAACACCACCACUCAAGAUCAUGCCAAACGUGUGGUUCUCCCCUCCUCCGGUGUUGUGAGAGAUUCUUAUUCCCAUCUAAUGUUCUGCUUAGCAGCCGUAUAAGGGGGCAAGUGCUUGUGCAAGCAAGCAGGCAACUGAGGUUGUUCCCCGUUCCAUUUUAGCUUUUUGGAAAGCCUCGUGCGGAACAUCAAGGAGAUUGUGACCAAAGUCGUCGCCAUCCACAGGGGACAUAGACUCGUGGUUCAGAUUUUAAGAGUUACAGUAAUAAUGCAUUUCUAGACAACAACAGUAAUAAUGUGAGAAUAAUAAUAAUGUAUUUCAUAGACAGAAUAGGUGCAAUUGUGGCCAUAAGAUUGGUCCUCCCAUUAUGCCUUUUUAUUUUACCUGCAGAUAGGUGAAUGUUGGAGGGGGUAUUUACACCAAUGACUAAGAAAGGCAAGCCUUAGACGAAGCCUGUAAUCUACGCAGCAUUACACGCCGAUCCUUGACAUCGAUUCGUUUUGGAUGCACCUAACAUACUAACGCGAGGGCCACCCUUAACACAACCUGGCGAUGUCACAACAUUGAGAUUAACGUGCGAUGCAUAACCGAGGCACUACUUGCUCUUUGUCUGUGCGGCUGGUCGACCGACGAUGCAGCCUUGUGCUCGCGAACACUGUGGGUUUUUGGCACUGAGCUCAGACGAUUACUUCUGUGCGUCGGGCGUCUGCGGCAAGAACAGACACACGGAGGUGGUGGGGGGAGGGCGGCAGACGGGCAGGGUCAGGCGCACAGCAGCCCCCAUCUCUGUAAACACAUCAGGGGAGGGGAGCAGGGGGGGAAGGGAGGGGGGCCACCGGUAGCCAGGGUGGGAUAUACUGAAUUGGAUCGGGGUUUGAUGACAGCUGCUUGUUUCUGAUCAAGGAAGCAUAUACAAUAUUCUGGGCGGUAAGCUAAAGGGGUGUCCGUCUCUUGUUGUGCUUCUGUCAGAUGCGUGUGGACUGGAGGCCCGUUUAUUGCUUGUCACAUCUCCUGGUUUGCCGCUGCUGUAAUUAGCUUAUUAAAAAAAAGUGAGGGGGGAUGGUGAUUGAGAGGCAGUCGGGAGGGCGACUUGAUUGCUGUCAGAAAGCGGGACCCGCCCGCCUGCCUGUACGCCCAUCCGCCCGUCCGCCACGCUGUCAGCCCGCCCGCAUUACAAUGAGUGGCACAAAUUGAAUGGGCUCUGCCCUUUGAACCCAGCCCCAUGCGCGCUGGCACAUUAUCAUGCGAGGAUAAGUAUGCCUUUGCUGUCACGCUGGCGCCCGCUGUUUUGAUAUGCAUCACCUGCGUGGGCCGCUUGCGACGGUUACAAAUGGCGAGCUGAGCUACGAUUUGAUAUUCCUGCAUACAUUUUUAUACGCAGGGUAUGGCAAAGGCGAAUUUACAAACAAAAACAUCGUAUAUAUAUUUUUAGUGAGUGCAAAAUCGUACGAUUUGAAUUAUUUCCCCAAAAAAACCAAGCCGCGUCCAAUCCAGUCCAUUAGAUUGGAUGGCUGUCAUGAAGAAAAAUACAGGGUGUGAUUGACGACAGUUCUGCUUGAAAUAACGACUUGUCUCUAAAAUUACAAACCCACGCGUGAUUUUAAACGACCUACAUUCCUGCUCAUCCAGUUGAGCGUUAAGACAUCUCCUUACCGCCUCUGCCUGGUAAAUAUCAGCUGUGUGGUCAAGCGACCUUUGCGCAUUGUUCAGGAGGCUCGCGACUUGCAUUUGUCCUCCUCUUUCUUCCCAAGCCCGCAACAUUUGCACAUGCUCAUGUGUGCUCGUGUGUGUGCUCGCGUGCGUGCGUGUCCUCCCGCACGCGCGCACACGCGCACGCGUACAUCGCCUAUUGCCCAUCACACACCUCGCGGCAACUUGCCUCCCUUUGUCAUUGUCUCAUUAUGUCCCUUGCCUGCGCACCGAGCCUCUGCAGAGGUGGGACGAUGUACAGUAGGCAUAUAUGCGCGUGAAUGUAUAAUGCGGUACGUAUCGUAAAUAUAAAAAUAAAUUUAUAAGCGGGCCGCGCGCGGAAUGCAGACGAGGGCGGCAGAUAAGUCUGUGUUUGGUUAUCUCCGUACGCGCAGCACGCCUGGCUGCCGCGCCUGCCACUCACACCCGACGGGCAGGGUGGGGGGGGAGCGGCGGUUGGGGGCGGGGGGACGUAACCGUGACCUGGAAAUCGACCCUGACAUUAACCCCGGCGCGAGCACGGCAUGGACGGCGAGCACCCUAUCUGCGCCCGCACCCUCGCUUCGGGGACAAAAUGGACUCCCGUUUUGUCAGCCACGUUUAAAAAAGCGCCGGCUUCGGCUCAUCGCCCACGCGCCAGCGGCAGAUGCAAUCGUGCAGACGGCGUAGGGCCGUGUUCGGUGACAGUCGCGUGUUGGAAAAAAUUGGAGUUGCGGUCAUGAAACGCCACCCGUGACCCUGACGCCUUACUUAAUUAUGUGCCGCGAGUGGCCAUGUAAUGACAGUGGGGGCUUUGUUGCAAUGAGUGGGAAAGUCGGAUUUAGUGACUCGGGAGCAUUGCUGGUAACUGCAUGAAAAAAAAAAUGGUUACCGGUCCAGUGCUGAAUACAAUUGCGUUACCUUUUCAGCUGAUUAAUGAAGGGAGCUGCCGAGAUGUAAUGGUGAGCACGCUGGAAACUUGGCCCUUCCGCCAGCAGUAGCGCAAGCAAGCGAGCAAUUGCAGGGUUCCACUUUUACCUCUUCACGUACGUCCGUACGUUACUAACAUUCCACUGGAAUCACCGGUUCCUAAUGUAUGGGACCUUACCUGGUUUACCGGUUGUCACUGAACAACCCUGGUUCAGACAAUUGCCAGACGGCCGCGUGUGUGCUGAUUGCAGCCUCAAGUUUAUUGCGCUGUCUGGGAGGACCGUGUGUUUUAACGGGGUGACUUGCGCAGUGCAUUUGUGUGCUGCUUUUGAUAUUUGUGUGCAAUACUACCCACUGUAGCCGUGUAUUGACGUCGCUUCCCCCCAUUGCUUCCAACAGAGCUUGGACCGUGAGUCACUCACUCACCGGUACGGUUAAUUCGGUAAACAGCGCCCGCAAAAAGAAGAGCAGCUAAGCACAUGCAAAUGUGGACCCACCGGAAAAUGAGUCUUAAGGAUGUGUGUAGUAUGGUGGUGAGCACGUUGUGUUACAAACCCGGUGACACAAGUUCAAUUCCUGCUCACGGCCAACACCGGUGACAAUUAUCUGAACCUGUUCUGGGCCUUCCCUAUGUCAACUCAGCCUCAAAUGAGUACCUAGUGCAGUGUGUAAACAUAGCCAUUGGGAAGAAAAAGGCGGCCGUGCGUGGUGCUGGCAACCCACCCCAUCGUGUGCCAUGCCCGCUAACAGCACUUUCCCCAACAUUCUGUUCAGGCUAUAUGGGGAUUUUUGUUUUUGUGUAUGUCAGGUGUCUAAAGGAGAAUUACUUUCCUCGAUAAAUGGCAUUUUGUUUCUCAUUAAAGCAGCUGUUUGCUCACAUUUUUUUAUUUUCAGAAGCAAUGAAUACAAUUUAAAUAUCCUGAUGAGGUUCGCUGCAUUGUAUAGUGUUGUCACUAAAAUGCAGUUGACUUGCAUUUGUGAGAAAAACAAAUUGAGCUUGUACAGCGACAGACGGCUCGACACACACCAUCGAGAUGCAGUGAUCAGUGGCAAUUGUUUCUCUGGUUGCAAGUUGGGCUUAAUUUCAAGGAAAAGAAUAUACAGUACAAACAAGCAACGAGAAAUCUAAAUAUGUGUGUGUUUGUAUACAUUUAUAUUUUUUUAAUGUACUAUGAUCAGCCUGCUGCACUCUGAACCCAGCGUCCUGAGUUUGAUAGCCAGCCGUGGCUCACAUCGGUGGCUAUUACUAUCUGAACCAGUCUUGGGUCCACCACCCCACGCUGACCAGCGUGAUGGAGUAUAACCAAUCAACUCUCAUGACUGGCGCAGCUCGGGGUAAACCUUCAUCUAGCAGUGGAACAACAAAAGCAGUGGAUGCAUCAUGGCUACUUACGAUGACGAUGAUGACGGCGAUAAUAAAAUUAAUGUCUGUCAAGAGGACGAGCAGACGCCCACGCGGCUGAAGAAGGAACUCAAGGCGAAUGACAUGGCUCCCGGCCGGAGCUCUCUACCCCCGAGCAGGGACUGUCUGAAUUACAGAACGAGGACACCCUGAGUCAGGUAACACUCCCAGCCUGAUUCCCACGGCUGCUGGAAACCCGGGCUCAGCUGGCCCUGGAACAGCCCGGGACUGACCCUGACAGCAUCAGGGCCUGGGCUGUGUUGUCACCAUGUGACUCGAAUCGUGAGGCUGUGUAGGGUCCGACCCUCUGCUCCCCUCUGCUGCGUGCAUCCUCUCCCUGUGGAAGGGUUGGGAAGCGAUUUUAAUUUACACUUGUAAUUAAUGUUAAUGCAGCGUUUGGGUUUAUUGACCCAUCUGUGUGGGCUUUUAUAGGCGUUAUCUUGGGUUGUAUGCGUGGUAGUCGCCCAUUCAACCACUAUCCAUGUUCAUUCCUGCUUUGCUACCAAGAUCUCUCGAGAUUGGGCACAUUCCGGGUGAUUCGGUCAUCGGUGGCAUAUGUGUGUGUUGUUGUAUCUGCAUGUUCUAUAAUAACUGCACACCGUCGUUGCUAUGCUGCGUCUUUCCGCCGCCGUUUGCCUGUGGCCCACGCAGCUCGUCAAGGGGGGCCCCUGUAGGCGGAGGCUGCGCGGUACGAGCGCAGGGCUGGCGCCUUGCCGGCAAGAAUAUGCGGAGCAUGCCAGCGGAGCUUCAGUAGCUGCACUUUCUGCGCCGGAAGAGCGAGGCAGAGGCCACGAGCUCCAAGGGGCACGUGGACCAGCUGAGUGCGCAGGCGGAUGUAUCGCAACAGACGCUGGGCAAGCGCGAUGAGGAGACGGAUGCCGUGCGGCCUGAGCUGACCUCGCUGCAUGAGGCCCUGUGUCUCAAGAUCGUCGUGGACAAAAGGCGGCCGCGCUGACGGCCAAGCUGGAGUCACUCUAGGCAUCAUCACCAGGCCACCGAGCGUGCGUUGAGCGGCGGUGUCGGUCAGGAGAGGAAGCCAGCCGGCUCACCCCGCCCCAGCUCAGAGCGAUCACGUGACUCUCGGUGAAGACGAUGGAGCAAUCCCUGAAGGUGUUGCAGAACGACACGAGGUAGAGCGAGCUCACGGUGUCCGGCUUGCAGCAGUGGAUCGCUCAGCAGAAGCUAGGCAGCAGGAAGAUCUGCAAAGCCACGACAUCGAGGAGCUCACCGCGGAGAGAGAGUUGGCAAACACAGGCUGGCCACAUCAAGGUUGAGGACAAAGAGGAAGAGGAUGUGCCUGGCCAUUAAUAGGAGCAAGGGAUGGAACAACCCCCUUCCCCAGAACUCCCCCACUCACCACCCACCUUUCCACCCCCUCUGAGCCCCUCACAGCCCCCCCCCUCACACUUCCAAACACUUCCCACCCCCACCAGCACCUCCCCUUCUUCCCUACAGAGUGUCACAUUAGAACAAUAAGAAAGUAUCGCCAAGUCUCAAUGCUUUUGAGUCGUUUGGUCUUUCUCUCUGGGACAUGCGAGUGGCUCUCGCAUUUCCAACACCGAGCGCUGUCUCAGUCCACAGUGUGAGUGGGCCCCACCAUGGCUGUUGCGGAGCUUCGAGGAGCCGAAUGUGAGGCAGAGUUCCCUGGCCCUCCAGGGGAUUCGCACUGAGCUUGAGUAGGGGGUGACGAGCAUCAGGUUGUGGUGGUGGUGGAAAUUGAGGACUACGAGGAGGAGAUGUCCGUCGCCCAUAGUCGAACCAGGAACCGUAGUCGUUCCCACGUCCCCGAUUGCGAGAGGCAGUGCUGGCGGACAGUUCCACGAUCUCAGGCGUACGUUUCAGACACUAAGGACAUGGGUACUUAUUACCAUAAUCACGCAAUGAUUUUUAAUUGGGCGUAGUAUGUCAACCAAUUGGGACUGUGAUUCAGAUAGAAGUCAUCCGUACACCUUUCUUGAUGAGGGAGAAAUGCUCGUUAACACAGCGGUGUUGGACGUACUGAGACGAACUGACGUCUUCAUCCACGCUGGGAUGGUGGUGAAGGUGCAGUCUGGUUUGUGUGUACAUCAAACCAAUCCAUGAAUAAGCCAUAUUUUCUAAAACGAUUAUUACCAUCAAAAUGACCUGCCAUAUAUAUAAAAUUGUGAUGAUUCUAAAAUUUACUGUGAGGUUUUCCUAAGCUGUGCAACUGCCCUACAUGUAGUGUCAAAUACUGACACUGAAAAAUAUUUGCUGCAGCGAAUCAGAAGCCUUAUCACUAUCCCAAACUGCAACUCGCAGAGGACUAGGGAACAUAUGACAACUCAUUGCCCCAUUGGCAAAUACAAUGGAGGAGGCAUCAUCAGAGCGAUACACUCUGCUACUCCUGACGCAAUCUUCUGGCUCAACCAUCUCAAUGUAAAAUCGUAGUUGCACUUCAAUGUAUGGAUGUAUUUGUAACUUCUUUCGCACUGUACGUAGCCAACCGUGCCAUACGAAUAAGACUCCAACCCUCUUUGCUAAUUCGACUGUCCACCUGUCCUGAUUUUUCCAGGAUCAUCUUUUUGAAGUUGCCAUUGUGGGAAAUAUGUAGGUCUUCCUUCGACAUUAAAAGUCCGCAUCUUUGUCGGUUGCAUAAUAAAACAAUAUAGUGUACCACUCAAAACGCCAGUCUUUCAAAAUCAUGCCACUCAGAGGUUGGUGAAUGUGCCGUGUGGGUCCGAACGGCGGCCGGGAGUUGGGGGGGUGGGGGAGUGGCGGUGCGCGUGGCGCAGUUUCGGCCCUUGUCACCACGAGCGGUCGACCCGCACACGUGUCGAUCGUUUGCCGCGCAGCGCCACAAGCAGACGAGAUUUCACCGCUCUCUAUGAGCACGAGGGAAAGAUCUUGAAGCUUUGUGGGGGCGAGUAACUGUGGGGGGCCCAAGUCAGGUAGCCAUGGGCACCCAUGAAGGCUGUUUAGGGGGGACAAGCAAUAUACUUUGUCCCCCGCCCCUGACCUACUGUGUCCCCGUGAGCGCGGGGUCUCGGCAGUGCUGGCAGUGCGAGGCUCAUCGUGCUGCGCUGCUCACGAGUGCUUGAUUGUUAAUGCAGUCUAAUCGAACAAAGGUGUUUGCAUGAGCAUUUUUUACACCUGAAUUUAGAUUUUUUUUGUAUGAUGCUGCUGAUGAUUGGCAUGAUGUUUCUGUGUUUGCUGCUGGUGAGUGAUGGUGGUGAUGGUGGCGAGUGAUACGUGAACCAGUCUCUGCACACCUCCUUCCCCCACCAAUGCACACUGCCCAGCGUGGGGAAGUAUGCUCAUAUUACUGACAUGGGGAGGCCUUCGGUUGAAGGGCAGCACAUUCUUUCACAUUUUUCUAUUCCUGCCAUCUGUUCAGUAAUGCUCCACGGAAGCUAAAGAGGGUCUUGCGCUGGUAUGCUUGGCCAGUUAAGGAGUGCGUCUCUGCAUGUACGAUUAAGUCGAUGUACUCGGACAAACCCCUAUGGCUUUAAGAGGGGCUAGCAUGCAAUUGUCCGCACAGACGGGUUCAUAUACCCAGAUUAGCCUUCUCACCUGGUCAGACUCCCAUUGAUGUAUUUAGUCAAUUCCUCUUUUUUGAAUGAGUUUGCGUGCAUCCUGCUGAGUUCAUUUUAGUAUAAAGAUUGUAAUGAAAAGUAGAACGCUUCAGUUGAUUGGAUUUGACAUCAGCACAGCUCUACAUUGACGUACACAAAAAAAAUAACAGCGCGGUCAUAUUCAUCAAAAAUCGCCCACGGAGCCCACACCUCGCUCUCUCGCUUCGCUCCGGGGAGGACUUUUUGUGCAAAGCAAUCAGGUGGCGAGGGGGCAAACGCGCAGGGAGAAGGGGCGACAAAACAAACUCGAUUCGAAAACGGAGGUAAAUUACUCUCACAGUAAUGGCACUGCACUCAUUACAGCACCAAAAAAUAGAGGACCCAGCGGGGAGGAUGAGCGGCGUCGCUGUGAGCGCCGCGUGAUUUCGCUUUUGUUGCUGGCGGCUCUCGGUGCGGAGCUCACGCUCGGUGCAGGAACGAGCGCUCCGGGCCAAGAUUGGCGAGAAAGAAUAGACGAACUUAAGUGGACGGCGGCCUCGACGCAAUUAAGCGCGUGGUUCAAUUUGCCGGCAGGCGCGCGACGCGGAUUUCACGUCCAGAGGAGACGCUUUAUCCAACCCAACCAAAUGGCAUGGCGAUUUCUGCGAGAAAUCUUGAGCAAAAAUAAGUGGUUGCUCAGUCUCCUUGAUCGCUCGAGCGGUGAAAUUGUGGCAUUGAAGGUUCCCAGGUUUGUUUUAUGCAUUGUUGGAAUCUUUAAAAUGAUGAGACUAGAAUAUGCGAUGAUUUGUGGCGCCGGAGUAUAGUUUUAAUAAUUGGCUGCAAUCAAUUUCCAAGCAAACGAGCCGGACCGAUCCCAGACGUUGGUCAUGGGGCCGCUCGUGCCGUGGAUCCCCGUAGCGUGGCCACGGCGCCCUCUGCUGGACGCGGUGGUAUUAACUAUGAUCACUGCACACGCAAUACCAUGUGUGUGGCGGUCGUGCGUUCGCCGCCGGUGCAGAGGCUCGCGGUUCGAAGCCGGCGGCCGCCAUGAUUAAUAUUGCAGAUGUGUUAACCAUAACAGGACUACGAGAGUAGGCCAUUGUGUGCCGCCGUCAUGAACCAAAUAGAUGAAAUAAAAAAAAUACCUGCAGGUUCCUCAGUUGGAAUUUACAUAGCAACCGUUGCUACUAAAACGUGUCAAAACUCUAUUCAAGAAGAGUCAUGAGUCUCAAUGAGGUUAACCUGGGUAAAAAGAAGUAUGUAAAUAUCAAUUCACAUGCAGACAUGUCCAGCCCUUUAUCAAUCCACUGCUGAAUGAGAGCCUUUGCACACUUUUUGUAGUCUUAUCGGUUUUAUGACCAUUCUGGUUAGUGAGCGCUGGUGAUCAGCACGGUUGACUAACGUUGUUAAAGAAGUUCGACGUGCAUACAGUACAAUAUUAGAUUUGGCUCCAAUGCUCCCUCUGCUGAUUACCCCGUAGCAUGGUCUUGGUGCUGCCUUUGUCAACUGGGCGUGCCUGGUGGGCACCAAUUAUCCAGACCAAAGCCCACUUAGCUCCCGAGAGUGUGCGAGGCUCUGCAUUGUGGAGGCCCUCAUCCAGCAGCGGAUUGGCAAGGAGCUUUGCAUGUUCUUAAAUUCCGCACGACCAUCCCGGCUGGCCCUGCAGGGUCGUGAGCGGUGGUGGUGGCUUGAGGAGGCCUCCAUCCAGCAGGGAAUUGAGCCUGACUGAUGAUGGCGCAUAUGACGAAUUAUUUCGUGAUGCUGCUGCGUUGGCAGUGGUGCACAAGCACAAUUAUCAAACUCCACACAUUCACCAACAGCCCUGUUUUUAAACAGGAAAAAUCUAACGGGCAACGUUUUGAGAAAUGGCUCUUAUGCGCUACGAAAAAGCGCCAUUGCCUGAAAUGUCGCCUUAUAUAUGGGUUAUCUUAAGGCCACAGCGUUAUUGACGACCGUGUUGAGUUCUUCGUUGUUAAUUGUGCACACAAUCAGGGCAUGACGCGUCUGUGCCGCUGCGGAGAUGGGUUUGAGAGAGUGGACGCGGACUCGCCGAUGUAAUCGCAUUAACGCAUACGGCGAACCUCCGACAUCUGUUUUGUGUAAGUAGGGUCUCAGCUAGAGGUCCUGCAGACCACGGGGGUCGCUGCUUCCCUCUCAGGGGAUCUCUUGCCCCUUUCCCAUAGGUUGAUAGUAAUGCUACUAUCUCCUUUGUUUAUCCAGAUAAGCCUCACUGCAUUCGGAUGUUUUGGCCAAUUCCAUCGGUAAUGAUAAUCUGGCUUUAUGGGAGGAAACCGGAGACCUGAAGAAAACCACCACGCUGCCGAGGGGGUUGCACUUCAACCCCAACACAGAUCUGGCUUUCUCACAGCCAAAACAUACAGCAUCUGGUAUGCCCAGACAGUUUCCCAUCAAAGGACUUACCAGGUUCAAGUCUGUUUAGCUUCCGAGAUCGGGCGCAUUCAGUGAUUUGGUCAUUCUGUUGCAAUGCUGUUGCGCUCUUUUGUGCGCAGUCAUUGGUGACCGGCCUGGGACUUGACUCGUUGCUCUUGGUAGCGUGGUUUAAUCACAACUCAGUCCGUGGGAGUCUAUGGGUCUCUUUCCAAGUAUAUGGGUCACGUGUGUGUGUGUGCGCAUCUCUGUACAAGUCUAUGUCGCCCGACUACCAUUAUGCUCCCCCCAUCUCCCCCGUCAAGGAGAUGGGGGAUGCAGCCCUUAGUCCGCCCCUUACGUCUCUGAAAUGGCCUCUAUCGCCUGUAACUUGGGCCGGAAUAUUGCCUCAAUCUGCGGUGACUGUUAUAAUCCCCGAGACCCCGACUCGGCCCACCACGGCCCAUCGCCUCCACUCCCCACAGCCCCCCUCUCACACCACUCCCCUCCAUCGCCGUGUGUGUUCUCUGCUCUAAGCGCCGCCACGAUUUUAUUGUUAGUUUGUCAUUUCGUGGUAAAUCUCGUUUUACGAACGGGUGCGUUCUAUAUUUUCAUUGCCCUCCUAUUUAUACCGUUUUUACUGUGCAGUACGGUUGGGU
This is a long non-coding RNA of Lethenteron reissneri (Far Eastern brook lamprey), 12628 nucleotides long. RefSeq lists it as uncharacterized. The record is from RefSeq and is a predicted model, not a curated record. Lineage: Eukaryota; Metazoa; Chordata; Hyperoartia; Petromyzontiformes; Petromyzontidae.